UUUGCCUCCGGUUUCCAACAUUUCUUCUGUCAUUCUCAAAAUCCUCGAGAAUUCACUGCCCUCGUAUCGAUUCAAUUAUUAGCGAUCAAUUGCUCCAAAUCCAACUAAUUCCUCUAAACAGAUUGAAGGAGUUUGCUGACGAAUAAAGGAGUAUAUUUGAAGUGAAUGAGGAGCUACACCGAAUUGAGUUCCGUUGAAAUUUGGAAGCUUCACUAGAAUAUUCUACAUCAGAUGAAGAUCUGGAGUAGCAAGAUCUCAAAUAUAUCUAGAAGAAGGAAGUUAUAGUAAAUGAUGCUCUUGAUGAUAACAAGCUCAUUGCAUCAUCUUGACUUUGCUGUUUUGCUUUGAUCAACUCAAAUCCAUGGUUGUCGCAUAAAAAGGCAAUACUAGCGCUAUCUUUUUCCAAAUUGGAGGGAGCUGUAAUGGAAGUCAUGAGCAAGUUCUUAAUUGCAUCGGCAUUUAUGUGGACCGUGCCUAUUGCAGUUUUAUAUGGGUUCAACCAUAAUUUCUUCCCUGGUUCAGCUAGUUUGUCCCAGGAAGCCCUGACAUUGUGGAGUGGAAUCCUUGCAGUGAUCUCCGUAAAUGUGGUUAUCGUAUUGUACAUCAUCUCGGCCAUGAAAGAGCCCCCGUUGGAGAAACACGAGCCGGAUCCUAGAUUCGUAGCAGAUGCAAAGGCUAGCAUAAAGCAGCAGCUGGGACCAACUGAAGUCGACCCAUCAUCAGACCGUGCAAAACAAGAAUAGCUGAUGUUAUCUUAGUACAAGGUAGUUUCAGCUCUGAUUUUCUCAGAGGAGCCAUACGUAUAAUGAGCAGGAGCCCUUGACAAACGAGCACCGAGAUUAUCGAUAGGUUCGACCUGCUUCAUUUCCAUGAUCAGAGUUUGUGUAUGAGGCUAGAAGUCUGGUGUUUGGUCUUGAUUUACCUUGGCCCAUUUUUAUUUAUUUUCAUGAUUUUUCUUAAUUUUUGUUUGGAUAUGGAAUUCAGUUACCACUCAGCGUUUUUGUAGUUGAUAUUUAUAAAAGUAAUGAGCAUAUUAGACUCCCAUUCCUCUACAUGAAUCAUAACAUACCUAUUUUAAAUUCUUCUUUUAUGCGGCAUCUCUCUCUCUCUCCAAGUUAUGUUGAAGUGAACGAGCUAAACCAGAGGAGUAAAGCUCAGAGAAGUUGACCGUUGGAGUCGACCGUUGGAAACCGUUGAAGAUAUUUUGAGUUAGUUAGUCGGUUGAGUAGUUAGUUAGGAAUGAGCUGGCUUUUGCGCCUUUCAUUUGUUCCUUCUUAGCUAGAGUAUAAAAGUGGGUUGUAGUAGCUUAUAAAACUUGAUUUUCAAUAUAGAAAUAAAAUUCCUUUGUUUCGUUUUC
Molecule: long non-coding RNA, 1357 nt
Organism: Salvia splendens (bonfire salvia)
Lineage: Eukaryota; Viridiplantae; Streptophyta; Magnoliopsida; Lamiales; Lamiaceae
Exons: 4
Source: RefSeq, a predicted model, not a curated record